RNAcentral lists this non-coding RNA (25 nucleotides) under Mus musculus (house mouse). The record is from RNAcentral. Lineage: Eukaryota; Metazoa; Chordata; Mammalia; Rodentia; Muridae.
UGGUAUUCUGGUCUCCUGAAGUCAG